UAAGGAAUAUUGCUCAAUGGGAGAAAUCCUGAAGCAGCAACGCCGCGUGGAGGAUGAAGGGUCUAUGACUUGUAAACUCCUGUAAAGAAGGAAAAAAUUCCCAUUAGAUGGGAGAUGAUGGUACUUCUGGAGUAAGCCCCGGCCAACUACGUGCCAGCAGCCGCGGUAAUACGUAGGGGGCAAGCGUUGUCCGGAUUUACUGGGUGUAAAGGGUGCUCAGGCGGAUUUGUAAGUCAGAGGUGAAAUCUUACAGCUUAACUGUGAAACUGCCUUUGAUACUGCAAGCCUAGAGUAUGGAAGAGAGUGAUGGAAUAUCUGGUGUAGCAGUGAAAUGCGUAGAUAUCAGAUAGAACACCAAUGGCGAAGGCAGUCACUUGGUCCAUUACUGACGCUAAAGCACGAAAGCGUGGGUAGCAAACA
Molecule: ribosomal RNA, 420 nt
Filed under: uncultured bacterium
Lineage: Bacteria
Description: bacterial SSU rRNA
Rfam family: Bacterial small subunit ribosomal RNA
Source: RNAcentral